UUCGCAAUGCCCGAAAGGGUGACGAAGCGACGCCGCGUGUGGGAAGAAGGCCUUCGGGUUGUAAACCACUGUCGGGAGUUAAGAAAUGUAAGGAUGUUAAUAGCGUUCUUACCUGACUAAGGCUCCGGAGGAAGCCACGGCUAACUCUGUGCCAGCAGCCGCGGUAAUACAGAGGCGGCAAGCGUUGUUCGGAAUUAUUGGGCGUAAAGAGCACGUAGGCGGCUAUGUAAGUCGGUUGUGAAAGCCUUCCGCUCAACGGGAGAACAGCAGUCGAUACUGCAUGGCUUGAGUGCGGGAGGGGAGAGCGGAACUUCUGGUGGAGCGGUGAAAUGCGUAGAUAUCGGGAGGAACGCCGGUGGCGAAAGCGAUUCUCUGGUCCUUUCCUGACACUGAUGCGCGAAAGCUAGGGGAGCAAACAGGAUUAGAUACCCUGGUAGUCCUAGCUGUAAACGAUGGGCACUAAGUAGAGGGGUUUU
This 476-nucleotide ribosomal RNA is filed under the name uncultured bacterium. Its description in RNAcentral is "bacterial SSU rRNA". It matches the Rfam family "Bacterial small subunit ribosomal RNA", at positions 365 to 832 of the family's 1533-position model. The record is from RNAcentral.